GGGGAGGAGCCCAGAGCCUGAAUCAGUGUGUGUGUUAGUGGAAGCGUCUGGAAAGGCGCGCGAUACAGGGUGACAGCCCCGUACACAAAAAUGCACAUAUUGUGAGCUCGAUGAGUAGGGCGGGACACGUGGUAUCCUGUCUGAAUAUGGGGGGACCAUCCUCCAAGGCUAAAUACUCCUGACUGACCGAUAGUGAACCAGUACCGUGAGGGAAAGGCGAAAAGAACCCCGGCGAGGGGAGUGAAAAAGAACCUGAAACCGUGUACGUACAAGCAGUGGGAGCCUCUUUAUGGGGUGACUGCGUACCUUUUGUAUAAUGGGUCAGCGACUUAUAUUCUGUAGCAAGGUUAACCGAAUAGGGGAGCCGAAGGGAAACCGAGUCUUAACUGGGCGUUAAGUUGCAGGGUAUAGACCCGAAACCCGGUGAUCUAGCCAUGGGCAGGUUGAAGGUUGGGUAACACUAACUGGAGGACCGAACCGACUAAUGUUGAAAAAUUAGCGGAUGACUUGUGGCUGGGGGUGAAAGGCCAAUCAAACCGGGAGAUAGCUGGUUCUCCCCGAAAGCUAUUUAGGUAGCGCCUCGUGAAUUCAUCUCCGGGGGUAGAGCACUGUUUCGGCAAGGGGGUCAUCCCGACUUACCAACCCGAUGCAAACUGCGAAUACCGGAGAAUGUUAUCACGGGAGACACACGGCGGGUGCUAACGUCCGUCGUGAAGAGGGAAACAACCCAGACCGCCAGCUAAGGUCCCAAAGUCAUGGUUAAGUGGGAAACGAUGUGGGAAGGCCCAGACAGCCAGGAUGUUGGCUUAGAAGCAGCCAUCAUUUAAAGAAAGCGUAAUAGCUCACUGGUCGAGUCGGCCUGCGCGGAAGAUGUAACGGGGCUAAACCAUGCACCGAAGCUGCGGCAGCGACACUAUGUGUUGUUGGGUAGGGGAGCGUUCUGUAAGCCUGUGAAGGUGGCCUGUGAGGGUUGCUGGAGGUAUCAGAAGUGCGAAUGCUGACAUAAGUAACGAUAAAGCGGGUGAAAAGCCCGCUCGCCGGAAGACCAAGGGUUCCUGUCCAACGUUAAUCGGGGCAGGGUGAGUCGACCCCUAAGGCGAGGCCGAAAGGCGUAGUCGAUGGGAAACAGGUUAAUAUUCCUGUACUUGGUGUUACUGCGAAGGGGGGACGGAGAAGGCUAUGUUGGCCGGGCGACGGUUGUCCCGGUUUAAGCGUGUAGGCUGGUUUUCCAGGCAAAUCCGGAAAACCAAGGCUGAGGCGUGAUGACGAGGCACUACGGUGCUGAAGCGACAAAUGCCCUGCUUCCAGGAAAAGCCUCUAAGCAUCAGGUAACAUCAAAUCGUACCCCAAACCGACACAGGUGGUCAGGUAGAGAAUACCAAGGCGCUUGAGAGAACUCGGGUGAAGGAACUAGGCAAAAUGGUGCCGUAACUUCGGGAGAAGGCACGCUGAUAUGUAGGUGAAGCGACUUGCUCGUGGAGCUGAAAUCAGUCGAAGAUACCAGCUGGCUGCAACUGUUUAUUAAAAACACAGCACUGUGCAAACACGAAAGUGGACGUAUACGGUGUGACGCCUGCCCGGUGCCGGAAGGUUAAUUGAUGGGGUUAGCGGUAACGCGAAGCUCUUGAUCGAAGCCCCGGUAAACGGCGGCCGUAACUAUAACGGUCCUAAGGUAGCGAAAUUCCUUGUCGGGUAAGUUCCGACCUGCACGAAUGGCGUAAUGAUGGCCAGGCUGUCUCCACCCGAGACUCAGUGAAAUUGAACUCGCUGUGAAGAUGCAGUGUACCCGCGGCAAGACGGAAAGACCCCGUGAACCUUUACUAUAGCUUGACACUGAACAUUGAGCCUUGAUGUGUAGGAUAGGUGGGAGGCUUUGAAGUGUGGACGCCAGUCUGCAUGGAGCCGACCUUGAAAUACCACCCUUUAAUGUUUGAUGUUCUAACGUUGGCCCGUAAUCCGGGUUGCGGACAGUGUCUGGUGGGUAGUUUGACUGGGGCGGUCUCCUCCUAAAGAGUAACGGAGGAGCACGAAGGUUGGCUAAUCCUGGUCGGACAUCAGGAGGUUAGUGCAAUGGCAUAAGCCAGCUUGACUGCGAGCGUGACGGCGCGAGCAGGUGCGAAAGCAGGUCAUAGUGAUCCGGUGGUUCUGAAUGGAAGGGCCAUCGCUCAACGGAUAAAAGGUACUCCGGGGAUAACAGGCUGAUACCGCCCAAGAGUUCAUAUCGACGGCGGUGUUUGGCACCUCGAUGUCGGCUCAUCACAUCCUGGGGCUGAAGUAGGUCCCAAGGGUAUGGCUGUUCGCCAUUUAAAGUGGUACGCGAGCUGGGUUUAGAACGUCGUGAGACAGUUCGGUCCCUAUCUGCCGUGGGCGCUGGAGAACUGAGGGGGGCUGCUCCUAGUACGAGAGGACCGGAGUGGACGCAUCACUGGUGUUCGGGUUGUCAUGCCAAUGGCACUGCCCGGUAGCUAAAUGCGGAAGAGAUAAGUGCUGAAAGCAUCUAAGCACGAAACUUGCCCCGAGAUGAGUUCUCCCUGAGACUUAGAGUCUCCUGAAGGAACGUUGAAGACGACGACGUUGAUAGGCCGGGUGUGUAAGCGCAGCGAUGCGUUGAGCUAACCGGUACUAAUGAACCGUGAGG
Molecule: ribosomal RNA, 2638 nt
Filed under: Escherichia coli
Lineage: Bacteria; Pseudomonadati; Pseudomonadota; Gammaproteobacteria; Enterobacterales; Enterobacteriaceae
Description: partial 23S ribosomal RNA
Rfam family: Bacterial large subunit ribosomal RNA
Source: RNAcentral